GGCUCUGUGGCACAGUGGAUAGCGCAUUGGACUUCUAAUUCAAAGGUUGUGGGUUUGAGUCCCACCAGAGUCA
Molecule: non-coding RNA, 73 nt
Organism: Epinephelus moara (kelp grouper)
Lineage: Eukaryota; Metazoa; Chordata; Actinopteri; Perciformes; Serranidae
Source: the annotation of a RefSeq genome assembly